Non-coding RNA from Camellia sinensis, 404 nucleotides. Lineage: Eukaryota; Viridiplantae; Streptophyta; Magnoliopsida; Ericales; Theaceae. The record is from RefSeq and is a predicted model, not a curated record.
AGAUGUGGUGAUCCCACCCAACUAGGGGCGUGGAAGUAUGUGUGUUGGGAGUACAAUGCUCUCAUUUUGGGUUUGAAUGACUGUUUUGUAUAACCAGUCUCAAGCCUUGGAAACUUGUAAACCCUUGGAGGUCACGUGCCAUUGCCUGCCUAAUCUGUCGGAUCUGCUUCUACAGCUAUCUGUGAUCAGGCACGUGACCAGGCCUAGAGCUUCUACCUAGACUCUGUUUUCUCAGCCAACCUAUGUGGCUCCCGAGAAGGUUCUGGAUAUGUCUAGUGGUUAUGGCUAUGUGCAUGAAGUUCAAGUUUUGUUUUCUGGUUCAGAUAAACAAAUCUUUGUUUAUGUUGUAAAUAGGGCUAAAUCCCUUUUCUCUAAUUCGUAUAUAUAUGAUAACAUAAGAAUGA